UGUAAUACAUCCUGGACCAAAUAUGGUGUAGAUAAACUGAAUAUUUUGUUUAAUGAUGUGUGUUCUGUGUGUGUUCAGUAAAUCUGACAGAAGACAAUCAACAAGGUCAAAAUCAGACAGACUAUAAACAUGAAGCGAUCAGUACGUGGUCACGUCCUCUCUUCAUCUCAGUAAUACUGAACUGCGCUCUGGCUUUUACAGUUGCAGUGUUGACGGUGAGCUGCUGUGCAGGAUCGAAUUCCCUGCAAACUUCAAACUGUAAUAAACAGCAGCUCAGUGGAUCUCAGAUUUUCUUUCCACAAGCCGUGAAGCACGACACCUUCACCGUGGUUGUGUUUACUCAGCUCUCCCCCAAAGCCUAACAACCGCCUCUCCAAAACACUUUAUGGUGGUUUUUUCUUACCCUUCUACAGGACUGUGGUGACGUCUGCACAUCAACAGCAGCUCAUGCAAACUACAAUACAGACACAUACUGCUUUCUCGUGCCCCUUUAAUUUCAUCAAAUUUUUUAAGCUAAACUCAAACAGAAUAUCUGGUCAGAAUAAACACCUUUAACUUGCAAUAAAUUGAUAUGUGUGAUGGCUUUAUUGCAGGUCUCUUUGUGCUUUUUUUGUAACCGGGUCAUAAAAUAAUGUUGUAAAUUAAAUGUGUCUUACAAAAAACAUCAUGUCUAACACCUAAAGAUGAUGAUUAAACAUGCAGACCAUCUUCAAGUGUUUCUCAUUAUCAUUCACUCUUUAGUGCCUACAAUUCAAACACUAACAUACAUAACUGCAACUUAAAUU
Molecule: long non-coding RNA, 785 nt
Organism: Clarias gariepinus (North African catfish)
Lineage: Eukaryota; Metazoa; Chordata; Actinopteri; Siluriformes; Clariidae
Exons: 3
Source: RefSeq, a predicted model, not a curated record